This 229-nucleotide small RNA is filed under the name Arabidopsis thaliana (thale cress). RNAcentral describes it as "putative long intergenic non-coding RNA". The record is from RNAcentral. Lineage: Eukaryota; Viridiplantae; Streptophyta; Magnoliopsida; Brassicales; Brassicaceae.
UAGAAAUAUCACUAUCUGUGGCUUUUGUUGACGGUACUAUUAGAGGUGGGCAUAAAUUCCGAACCAAAAUUGGGUAUCUCAAUAUUUAAGCUUGAAAACCGAUGACAUUUUUUAUUUUUGAUUUAGGCAACGGAUUCAGUUCAAGUUGGUCAUCGAUCACUUUACAUAUUUUGUUUUCAAAAUGUUUUAGAAGUUUUUUCAAUUCUUUUUUUUUUUUUUUUUUCUCGUA